UACGUAGGGUGCGAGCGUUGUCCGGAAUUAUUGGGCGUAAAGAGCUCGUAGGCGGUCUGUCGCGUCGGUCGUGAAAACUUGGGGCUUAACCCUGAGCUUGCGGUCGAUACGGGCAUGACUGGAGUUCGGCAGGGGAGACUGGAAUUCCUGGUGUAGCGGUGAAAUGCGCAGAUAUCAGGAGGAACACCGGUGGCGAAGGCGGGUCUCUGGGCCGAUGCUGACGCUGAGGAGCGAAAGCGUGGGGAGCGAACAGG
Molecule: ribosomal RNA, 254 nt
Filed under: uncultured bacterium
Lineage: Bacteria
Description: partial 16S ribosomal RNA
Rfam family: Bacterial small subunit ribosomal RNA
Source: RNAcentral